GCACUCUCUUUGGCAGCACAUAUACUAAAAUUGGAACAAUACAGAGAAGAUUAUCAUGGCCCCUUUAAAAAAAAUUAAUAAUAGACACCAAAGUAGUUUUU
This 101-nucleotide small nuclear RNA is filed under the name Otolemur garnettii (small-eared galago). Lineage: Eukaryota; Metazoa; Chordata; Mammalia; Primates; Galagidae. The record is from RNAcentral.